UUACCCAAUCCCGAUUCGGGGAGGUAGUGACAAUAAAUAACAAUACAGGGCCAACGGUCUUGUUAUUGGAAUGAGAACAAUUUAAAUAACUUAACGAGGAUCAAUUAGAGGGCAAGUCUGGUGCCAGCAGCCGCGGUAAUUCCAGCUCUAAUAGCGUAUAUUAAAGUUGUUGCAGUUAAAAAGCUCGUAGUCGGAUGUCGGGCUCGGGCAAGCUGUCGGCCUUUGGUCGGACGGCAGGCUCGGGUCUUUCUGCCUGAGGAACCCGGUUGCUUUAACGAGCUGCCGGUGGACGCAGGUCGUUUACUUUGAAAAAAUUAGAGUGUUCAAAGCAGGCUAGCGCUUGAAUACAUUAGCAUGGAAUAAUGGAAUAGGACUUUGGUGCUAUUUUGUUGGUUUAUGGGACCGAAGUAAUGAUUAACAGGGACAGUUGGGGCCGUUUAUAUUUCGUUGUCAGAGGUGAAAUUCUUGGAUUUACGAAAGAUAAACUUCUGCGAAAGCAUUCGGCAAGGAUGUUUUCAUUGAUCAAGAACGAAAGUUAGGGGAUCGAAGACGAUCAAAUACCGUCGUAGUCUUAACCAUAAACUAUGCCG
This 590-nucleotide ribosomal RNA is filed under the name uncultured marine Geminigeraceae. Its description in RNAcentral is "SSU rRNA". It matches the Rfam family "Eukaryotic small subunit ribosomal RNA", at positions 441 to 1044 of the family's 1831-position model. Lineage: Eukaryota; Cryptophyceae; Pyrenomonadales; Geminigeraceae. The record is from RNAcentral.